This 555-nucleotide ribosomal RNA is filed under the name Triticum aestivum (bread wheat). Its description in RNAcentral is "partial small subunit ribosomal RNA". Lineage: Eukaryota; Viridiplantae; Streptophyta; Magnoliopsida; Poales; Poaceae. The record is from RNAcentral.
AUGAAAUCUAUAGUUGGAUAUGAUCAUUGGGAACUCGCACACAUGAUGAUCAUUUUUAUUGGCAUCUAUAGUAAUUUUAAUUGCACACAUAGUUGUUUUCAAUUGGAUCCAAUCAUUAGGAACUUGCACACAUGGUUAUCAUUUUUGUUGGCAUCUAUAGUAGUUCUAAUUGCACACAUAAUCAUUCUCAGAUGGAUAUAUACGAUCAUUGGGAAGUUGGACACACGACGAUCAUUUUUAUUGGCAUCUAUAGUAGUUCUAGUGAUUACACAAAUAAUUGUUCCCAGUUGGAUAUGGUCAUUCGGAAGUUACACACACAGCGAUCACUUUUUGUUGGCAUCUAUAGUAGUUGUUGUUGCACACAUAGUUGUUCUCAACGAUACGAUCAUUGGGAAGUUACACAUAUAUCGAUCUUUUUUUGUGGGCUUCUAUAUUAGCUCUAGUUGCACAUAUAGUCAUUCUCACACUACUAGAAUCUGGUUUUGUCCCGAGUUCCGAUACUUCACCGAGUUCAUUUUACCGGAAACUCGACAAACUUCUCUCUGUCAAGUUUAA